Molecule: signal recognition particle RNA, 98 nt
Filed under: Acidobacteriota bacterium
Lineage: Bacteria; Pseudomonadati; Acidobacteriota
Also listed under: 1 other name
Description: signal recognition particle sRNA small type
Rfam family: Bacterial small signal recognition particle RNA
About the family: The signal recognition particle (SRP) is a universally conserved ribonucleoprotein involved in the co-translational targeting of proteins to membranes. Archaeal SRP consists of a 7S RNA and homologues of the eukaryotic SRP19 and SRP54 proteins.
Source: RNAcentral
GGUCGGGCUCCGCGCAGUGGGAGCAUGUGAACCGCGUCAGAUCCGGAAGGAAGCAGCGCUAAGCAUUUCCUCCCAGGUGCGCGGGCAGCCCGGCCCGU